GGAGAGUUGUCCGAGCUGGCCGAAGGAGCAGCAUUGGAAAUGCUGUAUACGGGUUAAAGCCUGUAUCAAGGGUUCGAAUCCCUUACUCUCCA
The sequence is a transfer RNA, 92 nucleotides long. It matches the Rfam family "tRNA". Rfam says of the family: Transfer RNA (tRNA) molecules are approximately 80 nucleotides in length. Their secondary structure includes four short double-helical elements and three loops (D, anti-codon, and T loops). The record is from Rfam.